GUAACAGAAGCCAAAAUAGAGGCACUUGUCUGUUAAUCAAGUUAAUGUAUUUUAUACCUGUUACU
This 65-nucleotide transfer RNA is filed under the name Patella vulgata (common limpet). Its description in RNAcentral is "tRNA-Asn". The record is from RNAcentral. Lineage: Eukaryota; Metazoa; Mollusca; Gastropoda; Patellidae.